RNAcentral lists this unclassified non-coding RNA (584 nucleotides) under Hevea brasiliensis (rubber tree). The record is from RNAcentral. Lineage: Eukaryota; Viridiplantae; Streptophyta; Magnoliopsida; Malpighiales; Euphorbiaceae.
GAGAGGAUUUUUGACAACAUAUUCAACAUAUAAGUUGUAAAUAUACUUUAGAGAUUCACGUAGAUCACCAGUCCUGGGAUGAGUAACCAAGAUAAUCUUUAUCCCAGAAGGACUUUCCAUGAAGCUAAGCUUGUAUGUAUUUGUUCGAAAGCUGUGGAAUGAACAACCUUGGCCAGGUAACUGAGGCAUCCCAAGGUUUCCUUUCUCCGCACUCGUGGGAUCCAUCUUUGCAGUUAGCGACUUGAGCGAGAAAAGCAGACCAAACAUGAGCUUAUGGUCCUGCUGCGCAUUGAGGGUGUGAAGUGGGCGAUUCCACUCCCUGUAGAGCAAACAUACCCCGUUUCUAUUGAACACAUACAUCAUGUGCGCAUUGUUGCCCGAUGCUGUUGGUGCCGGUGGCGAUGGACUGAUGUCUGAUCCUCCAAAAAAUUGCAUACUUUUCCACCAAUCAAAUGGACUUCAAAAAUGUAUACCACAAGCCCUUCACUGAUAUUUCUUAAUGGCCAAAAAGAGGUUCUUAACGAAGAAAGAAGGCGUAGAGUAUAGAGAGACGCACCUGAGCACCCGGUUAGCUAGGCAAGCGA